Molecule: long non-coding RNA, 1366 nt
Organism: Canis lupus familiaris (dog)
Lineage: Eukaryota; Metazoa; Chordata; Mammalia; Carnivora; Canidae
Exons: 6
Source: RefSeq, a predicted model, not a curated record
CGGGGCUCGGGGAGGGUGCCCGCAGGAGGUGCGGGGGUUCCCGCUGAUGGCCAGGCUAGAGCCGGAGCCGAGGAGCGUGCGUGCUCAGGGGGAGGUGUCAGCUGAGCUCUAUGUGCCAGGCCCACAGCUUGACCCCAGGACACUUUCAGAAGAGUCCAGUUUUGGUGGAAGCCGGACAUGUGUGUAUAUGUAAUGAGGGUCUCAGGAGUGUGCAAGUAAAAUCUAACUGGGUCAGUGAUGGCAGUGAGAAGCUGUGGAUGCUGGGUCUUACCUACACAUUUGAGAGUGAGCAGGAACCUGGGCAGCAAGAGAUAAGCCAAUAUAUCUGCCUGUUGAACGUACAGUUAAAAAUAAUUAUAGGGAACAUGGUGAUGCUUCAGAAACUGUCAGAUAUAUUUUGUGUGUCUUUGGGAUUAGGAAGUAGGAGUGCUGCCAUCGGGCUCUCUUAGUUGAGAACAAGGAUCCAGAGGAGGUGGAAGUUCCCAGCACAAUCCAGAGCCCUGUGUGGACCCUGAUCUCCAUAAGGACUGUUUAUUGCCGGGACCCUGCUGCACUAGAAAGGUUAUUCAGAAUUACAUUCAGCUCUCCAAAAGAAGAGCAGAGUCUGUACAUUUAAGCUUUGAUUUUUCCAUCAGGUGUGAGCCAGGGCAAGAAAGGAUGUAAAUUAAAAAGGACCUGUAACUUGCUCACCAGUGCAUUCUCUGUGCAUUGGACGUUAAUUGAAAAGAGUGGGGUUUCUUUUUUUUCUGAAUACUUUUCUAUGCUUUCUAAAUUUUCUUUAGUGAGCAUAUAUUAAUUCAUCCAUUUAUUCAUUAAUUUACUCCUUUACCAAGCAGGUACUAAAGUAGUUAGAGUGUGCUUGACAUUUGCUGGGUAUUGAGUAAACAGUAGUGAAACGGAGUCCUUGCCCUCGAAGAACUUAUAUCUGGUAGAGCUGUUCAUCUUAGUUAGCAAUGACUCUGAGGCAAGUAUGGUACCAAGCAUUUCACUUACAGUAUCUCAUUCAAUUCUCAUAAUAAUUCCUUCCAUAGCAUAGGAAUAAUUAUCUUCAUCUAAUAGAUGAAGACUGAAGCUUAAACAUAGAGCAUGGCCACAGCCCAUCCAUAAUGGGUAUUUUGAAUGAGUGACGAAUGGUUGCUAUCGGAAGCCACUAAAACCCUGGGGUCAUUUGUUUUGCAGCAUGACCAUCUGACAGGCACAGAAUCCUUAAACCAUGAUACCAGAGUGCCUUCUUUUUAUAUCAUUUCUAUAAUUAGAAAUGAAAACCGUAGGAAUUGGAGAAAGCAUUAUCUGGUCAGGAUUUUUCAGUGUAAAGUGUUUUUCUGAAUCUCAAAGAUUUUUUCCAUGUGCUGUAUCUGCUACCACU